RNAcentral lists this unclassified non-coding RNA (329 nucleotides) under soil metagenome. Its description in RNAcentral is "partial contains 5.8S ribosomal RNA, internal transcribed spacer 2, and large subunit ribosomal RNA". The stretch from base 1 to 120 matches the Rfam family "5.8S ribosomal RNA", at positions 35 to 154 of the family's 154-position model. The record is from RNAcentral.
GAUGAAGAACGUAGCGAAAUGCGAUAAGUAAUGUGAAUUGCAGAAUUCAGUGAAUCAUCGAAUCUUUGAACGCACAUUGCGCCCCCUGGUAUUCCGGGGGGCAUGCCUGUCCGAGCGUCAUUACAACCCUCAAGCUCAGCUUGGUAUUGGGCCCCGCCGACCCGGCGGGCCCUAAAGUCAGUGGCGGUGCCGUCCGGCUCCGAGCGUAGUAAUUCUUCUCGCUCUGGAGGUCCGGUCGUGUGCUCGCCAGCAACCCCCAAUUUUUUUCAGGUUGACCUCGGAUCAGGUAGGGAUACCCGCUGAACUUAAGCAUAACAAUAAGCGGAGGA